AGUGCUGAGGGAACAACAUCUUCAACAUCCCGCCGGAGCCUUCGGAACGUCCCCCCGACCCCUGGCACUCGUUUGCCACAGUCACCGGGAGCCUACCGCCCUGCGGGAGCAGCGUGCUUCCCCAGGCCUCAAUCCAGACGCUGGCCCAGGGCCCCGUGGCUCCAGCGUUCCCGCUCCACCACCAAAUCGAGGCGGAGAUGAACAGGGAGCCCAGCCAAUGGAGUAUGGAUACAGACGUCGACCCUGAGACAGGGGAGCGAGCGUAACCCGUGACAAUCGAGCAGUAAAGGGGAAGCCAUUUUCAGUUCCAGUGGCCAUGAUGGCAGGAGGAGUUAGCAACGCCAGCAAACAAACUACAAGCGGCCUCUCGCUCCCUCUUUUCGCGUCUCGUUCCUUAAGCUGCUGCUCAUUUACUGUGUAAAUAUAAAGAUCUAUCCCACGGUUUCCACCCACACAUAAGAAAAUACAGCCUGUGUCCACUCAGGCCUGGGCAACCAUAUUGCACUGCCCAUGUGCCGUUGCUAUGACAGCCAAGAUGACCUGGGCUCGGAUCUGAACCACAAGGAGGUCAGUGUUGACAUUUCCAGCGUCUUAUCCUUAUGUAGAUGUACUUUCGUCUUUCUAAAGCUUUCUGCUGAAAAGGAAAAUCCCUUUUCUUUCUCCUUGGAAGAUGUGGUGGUUAUCGUAGCAACAACUCCCAGGUCACUAGGCCUGGAGCCACGAGGAAGUUAGGCCCGAUUAUUCUAAACACAACAAGCAGACGUGCUCUUUCACACAAUCUAACAAAUUUCUUUCCCAUCAAAUCGUCUGUGGUAUUUUUUCAAUCUAUUAACUACCAGCAGUAAAUUUUUGGUGUUUUCCAAUUAAUUACUUUAUAUUGACAUUAAGGACCCAUCACCUUAUUUUUUGUAAUUCAUAUUUUGAAAACUUUAACUUUUUCUAAUCAAGCUGUUGAGAGAUGUUAUUACACAUUUUUGGAUGAGGGGGGGUGUGAACUCAGGCCCCUCAAUCCCGCAGGAGUGCCCCCCCUCUACAGUAUUUCAAGUUUUUUUUAAUUUCAGCUACAUUAGGCUUGCUUCCUUGAUUUUUGUUUAAAAAAAAACCCAACACGUUCAGAGAUGCUAUUAUACAUUUCUGCAGCAGGGUGGUUCUUCAAGCCGGACCUCCUGGUCCAGAGGAGGCGGCACUACACUACACAAGAGGGCCCUUUUAUAAUAUUUCCUUUUCUUCCUAAUCAACCUCUUCAGAAACAUUGUUACACAUCCCUGGAGCAGGUGGGACUUGAACCGAGAUCUCCCUUCCCCAAGGCAGGGACAUUGCACCACAAGGAGGACCCUUGUUUUUUUAUUUAACCUAUUUUUCGAAAAUCAAGCUCUUCGGUAACGUUGGGCUCGAUUUCUCCCUUCCGUCCUCAGCUCGACAAGUCGACCGGACGCCCCUGUCCCCCGCCCGGCAGUCACGCACAAUCCAGGCCCCAGGAUGGAGGACUAGACAGCUUGGCAGUUACCUCCAAAACACCCCACCCCCAACCUCUGAUGUUCCAACGUCAAAGCUUUGAACCAAAAGGCUUCAAGGGGGUCAAUUCCACGUGAAACUGGGUCACAAAGAGCGGUGGGGUAUUGGAAAGAUGGGGGCGAGGGGGUCUAGUCGCCAAUAGCGUGCCCCCACCCCAUCCCCUUACCUUGGCAGCUAACAGAACAACAUGGUCACCACUGGGGGGCAAAAAAAAAAAAUCAACAUUCCCAUUGCUCUGCAUCUCAACUCAUUUCUGGGGAGGGUGGCUUAAAAAGUCAGUCAUAGGGGAGGGGUUGGAUUUCAAGGUUAGCUUCCCCUCCUUCAGAUUUAAAAAAAAAGGGGGGAAAACCAAGACUCCUUGGGGCACAUUUUAAGCAGUCCUGCUCCACCCCCCCCUCAACAUUUCUAAGCCAGAUUGUUAUGAUAAUUUUUUUUAAAAAAACUAUUAUAUACGUAUGCACGGGCACGCAGGGUGUUAAGUUUGUAUUUGCUAAGGUAAUAAAAUGCUCAGAACCCAAA
Chiloscyllium plagiosum (whitespotted bambooshark) is the source of this 2034-nucleotide non-coding RNA. The record is from RefSeq and is a predicted model, not a curated record. Lineage: Eukaryota; Metazoa; Chordata; Chondrichthyes; Orectolobiformes; Hemiscylliidae.